Molecule: long non-coding RNA, 219 nt
Filed under: Helianthus annuus (common sunflower)
Lineage: Eukaryota; Viridiplantae; Streptophyta; Magnoliopsida; Asterales; Asteraceae
Description: sRNA HanXRQr2_Chr10g0445391
Source: RNAcentral
AUGCUGGAGGCUGUUACGUUUGGUUCCCUUUUGUGGGAUGUUGAGAGCUACGCUGGUUCCAGGAUCAGGUUAAGAUGAUGAUAGCGGAGUCUUCAUGACAGACAUGAUGGAGUGGACGCAUAUGUUGUAUGUGGUCGUGGGAUUGCAUGGCUAGGAUCGAACACUACAUAUGAUAACAAGGCGUUUCCUAUUACAAAGAAGAUGAAGAUGUCUAUUGUU